CGCUAUUGGAAUGUGGAGUAAGUUUAGACUUGUAUGAGUAUACUUAAGAAAAUUCAGAAAAAAGAUGCAGACAUUAUUUAAUUUAAGGUGAUCAUCAUAGUCGACACAUGUUCCUUCAAGUGUUUUGGUGUCUAUUUGGGUUUAUUGCUCAUAAUGUUUGAUUUUUGGGGAUCCCUUAUUUGUAGUUAAAAUGUCAAGCUCGUUCACCAAGAAAUAAGAGUAGGUUUCCCCUGAAUUUAUUUUACAAUAAACUUAUUUUGAAAAGCUUAAUCAUAACUAAAAUUUACAAUAUUUCCACAAAUAUGAUGUCGGUUUACUCAAAAGACGAUGUCACUAUUCGGAUCGAGAAGAUCAUUUUUAAAAAUUAAAAAAAAAGUUUUCUAUACAGGGCACAAUAUAAUUCAUGUCGGUUUAGAGUUCUCUCACAUGAAAAAAAAACCUUCCAAAAACCCAAUAAAAACACACAUUUGAAACUAAUCAUAUUUCACCAAAACCUGUAUCCACAAAGAAAUUUUAAAUAACAAAAAUACAGAAUUCCAAGGAAAAUUAAAAAUGGAAAGUCCCUAUCAAAUGGCAUAACCAAAUGCUCAAACAUUUUAAACAAAAGGACAACAACUGUUAUGUUUCUGACUUGGUAUAGGCAUAUCCUAUAUAGAAAAUAGUGAAUUUAACCGGGUUUUAUAGCUAGCUAAACCUCUCACAUGUUUGACAGUCGCAUAAAAUCCAAUUUUAUUGACAUUAACGUGUGAACAAAAUAUAUAGACAUAAUAGAUACAAAUUUCAAAAUAUGGGAUCACCAUAACCGCAAU
RNAcentral lists this long non-coding RNA (809 nucleotides) under Mytilus galloprovincialis (Mediterranean mussel). Lineage: Eukaryota; Metazoa; Mollusca; Bivalvia; Mytilida; Mytilidae. The record is from RNAcentral.